RNAcentral lists this ribosomal RNA (253 nucleotides) under uncultured Bacteroides sp. Its description in RNAcentral is "partial 16S ribosomal RNA". It matches the Rfam family "Bacterial small subunit ribosomal RNA", at positions 524 to 776 of the family's 1533-position model. The record is from RNAcentral. Lineage: Bacteria; Pseudomonadati; Bacteroidota; Bacteroidia; Bacteroidales; Bacteroidaceae.
UACGGAAGGUCCGGGCGUUAUCCGGAUUUAUUGGGUUUAAAGGGAGCGUAGGCCGGCUUUUAAGUCAGCUGUGAAAGUUUGCGGCUCAACCGUAAAAUUGCAGUUGAAACUGGCAGUCUUGAGUACAGUAGAGGUGGGCGGAAUUCGUGGUGUAGCGGUGAAAUGCUUAGAUAUCACGAAGAACUCCGAUUGCGAAGGCAGCAUACCGGUGCACAACUGACGCUCAGGCACGAAAGCGUGGGUAUCGAACAGG